Salvelinus fontinalis (brook trout) is the source of this 828-nucleotide long non-coding RNA. RefSeq lists it as uncharacterized. The record is from RefSeq and is a predicted model, not a curated record. The transcript has 3 exons. Lineage: Eukaryota; Metazoa; Chordata; Actinopteri; Salmoniformes; Salmonidae.
GAGAUCUUGCUGCUACGAUUUAUCAAAAUGCCAUAAAAAACUUCAAGCGUAAAUGUUUAUUUCGAAUGUCAGUACACUGACUGAUAAAAUUAUUACAGUGAAAUUGAUAUCAGACCGCAAUCAUUUUAGAAGGUUUAAAUGCCAAAGCAACCAAAUAUCUGUUUUGUUUAACUUUUCAGCCAACUACAGCCCCGUUCAAAACUAUAGCGAGAAUGUAUAAAGUUCAUUUGCCGGUGGACAACCUUUCCAAUGUGGCAGUGGAACGCCGACUGGCCACGGAGGCUGCGCUCCAGGCUCGGAUCUUCAACAUUGGAGAGAAGAGAACUGGAGGAGAUGGAGGGUCAAUGAGAGAAGGUCAUCGAUGACAUUUUGGAGACUAAGGGAGAUUGAAAAGCAGAGAGCCGCUGCCUGGGACUUCCAGCGCACGGAGCAGAACAGAGAGGACGAAGAGGAGGAGAGGAAAGCAAUGGAGCUGCAGAAGGAGGAGAGGAUUGAGAUGGACCUAUACGACAAACGGCUGGCCAGAGAGCAGCACAAAUGUCUCCACCAGUCAGCGGUACCUGGCCAAGCAGCUGUACACCAGCCGACCCACAGCCCAGAACCACCCUGGUUCAGCAGCAGCUCACGCUGGGGGAUCACCAGCACAGACUCACCGCACAUUACAGGAUCUCAGAUUCAGACGAUAGGCACAACACAACAAUAAAAUCAAGUUUAUUGGCACAUGUGUUCAUGUCUUUUAUCCCUAAGAUUUAGUUACUAGGUCAAAUGUUGCAGUGUUCUGCAACUUAUUCUCUCAGGAGCUGUAUUUUAGGUAUAAAAUGACUAUCU